GAUGAACGCUGGCGGCGUGCUUAAUACAUGCAAGUCGAACGAACGGACGAGACGCUUUCCUCUCUGAUGUUAGGGGCGGGUAGGUGAGUGGCACGUUGAUCACCUCUCUAUGAUACUCGGGUAAAUUCGGGUCACCGGCGCUAAUACCGGACACUCUUUUGAACCGCAGGGUUCAAACGUUAAAGACGGUCUUGCUGUCACUUGUAGAUGGAUCCGCGCUGCAUUAGCUAGCUGGUAAGGUAACGGCCUACCAAGGCAACGAUGCAUAGGCGACCUGAGAGGGUGAUAGGCCACACGGGAACGGAGACACGCACAAGACGACUACGGGAGGCAGCAGAAGGGAAUCGUCGGCAACGGGCGAAAGUCUUACGCAGCAACGCCGCGUGAGAGAUGACGGCCUUCCGAGCGUAAUACCGUGUUAUGAGGGAUGAACAUAUGUGUAUGGAACUGUGCACAUCUUGACGGUACCUAAACAGAAAGCCACGGCUAACUACGUG
Molecule: ribosomal RNA, 497 nt
Filed under: uncultured bacterium
Lineage: Bacteria
Description: partial 16S ribosomal RNA
Rfam family: Bacterial small subunit ribosomal RNA
Source: RNAcentral